RNAcentral lists this unclassified non-coding RNA (139 nucleotides) under soil metagenome. RNAcentral's name for it is "partial internal transcribed spacer 1". The record is from RNAcentral.
CCUAGAGUUGUAGGCUUUGCCUGCUAUCUCUUACCCAUGUCUUUUGAGUACCUUCGUUUCCUCGGCGGGUCCGCCCGCCGAUUGGACAAUUUAAACCAUUUGCAAUUGCAAUCAGCGUCUGAAAAAAACUUAAUAGUUA